ACACCCCUGUGAAGAUCACAGAACCCAGAUAGUUCUCAUCCUCCAGGGACUGCUGGCGCAGCUCCAAGAAGACACAGCCAGACAGAGGAAUGACUGCUCAUGCUCCGGGGUCUUAGCAGAGCUAAGCAUAAGCCAUGGCACUGAUUCUCCUCAAUUUGUACUGGGAAGGAGCUCAGAGAAUGAGACUAGAAGCAUCUCCAGGGACAACAAUGAGAACUGACUUCACUUAUUACAAAAUGAUAUUCUGAAAAUUCA
Molecule: long non-coding RNA, 255 nt
Organism: Numida meleagris (helmeted guineafowl)
Lineage: Eukaryota; Metazoa; Chordata; Aves; Galliformes; Numididae
Exons: 2
Source: RefSeq, a predicted model, not a curated record